CGGACGGGUGAGUAACGCGUGAGUAACCUGCCUUCAAGAGGGGGAUAACAUUCUGAAAAGGAUGCUAAUACCGCAUGAUAUAUCGGAACCACAUGGUUUUGAUAUCAAAGAUUUUAUCGCUUGAAGAUGGACUCGCGUCCGAUUAGUUUGUUGGUGAGGUAACGGCUCACCAAGACCGCGAUCGGUAGCCGGACUGAGAGGUUGAACGGCCACAUUGGGACUGAGACACGGCCCAGACUCCUACGGGAGGCAGCAUG
This 257-nucleotide ribosomal RNA is filed under the name uncultured bacterium. RNAcentral describes it as "partial 16S ribosomal RNA". It matches the Rfam family "Bacterial small subunit ribosomal RNA", at positions 99 to 353 of the family's 1533-position model. The record is from RNAcentral.